CUACGGGACGCUGCAGUGAGGAAUAUUGCACAAUGGGGGAAACCCUGAUGCAGCAACGCCGCGUGGAGGAUGACGCAUUUCGGUGUGUAAACUCCUUUUAUCAGAGAAGAAAAUGGCGGUAUCUGAUGAAUAAGCUCCGGCUAACUCCGUGCCAGCAGCCGCGGGAAUACGGAGGGAGCAAGCGUUAUUCGGAAUCACUGGGCGUAAAGGACGCGUAGGCGGGUUUUUAAGUCAGGUGUGAAAUCCUAUGGCUCAACCAUAGAACUGCACUUGAAACUGGGGACCUAGAGUAUGGAAGGGGCAGGUGGAAUUAGUGGUGUAGGGGUAAAAUCCGUAGAUAUCACUAGGAAUACCGAAAGCGAAGGCGACCUGCUGGGACAUUACUGACGCUGAGGCGUGAAAGCGUGGGGAGCAAACAGGAUUAGAUACCCGCGUAGUC
Molecule: ribosomal RNA, 439 nt
Filed under: uncultured bacterium
Lineage: Bacteria
Description: partial 16S ribosomal RNA
Rfam family: Bacterial small subunit ribosomal RNA
Source: RNAcentral